Molecule: ribosomal RNA, 360 nt
Filed under: uncultured bacterium
Lineage: Bacteria
Description: bacterial SSU rRNA
Rfam family: Bacterial small subunit ribosomal RNA
Source: RNAcentral
AGGGUUCGAUUAUGGCUCAGGAUGAACGCUGGCGGCGUGCUUAAUACAUGCAAGUCGAACGAAGCACCUCUCCCGUUGAUUGACCCAGCUUGCUGGAGAUUGAAACACCUGAGGUGACUGAGUGGCGGACGGGUGAGUAACGCGUGGGUAACCUGCCUUGUACAGGGGGAUAACAGUUGGAAACGACUGCUAAUACCGCAUAAGCGCACAGUACCGCAUGGUACAGUGUGAAAAACUCCGGUGGUACGAGAUGGACCCGCGUCUGAUUAGCUUGUUGGUGGGGUAACGGCCUACCAAGGCAACGAUCAGUAGCCGACUUGAGAGAGUGAUCGGCCACAUUGGGACUGAGACACGGCCCAA